CUCCGAAAUCAAUACUGUAAUUAAGCAACCGUUUCUUGCGAAUAUCAGUUUCCAAUUUCCAAUCAACAACGGGUAGAUCUAAAGGACAUAGACGAACACAUACUUCACAAACAAUACAUUUAUCAAAUUCAAAAUGGAUUCGACCGCUGAAACGCUCCGCGGUGAUUAAUUUUUCAUAAGGAUAUUGAAAAGUUACAGGUAAACGAUUUGCGGAGAUAAAGUAAUCAUUAAACUUUAUCUUUUAAUAUCUGCCAAAUAUUUUUUUGUGAUUCUGAUCCUUUAUCAUCAUAACUUAUUUUGUUAGAACUAAAAUUUAUAUCUGGAGUUCCUUUUUUAUUUUCUUUUGUAAUUUUUUCUAUUUGAUUUAUGAUUGUAUUUGUUCUAUCAGUUAGAUCUUGCAUUUUUUUUUCUGUUAAUGAAUAAUUUGUCCAACCCUGAGAUAUAAUUUGAAUCGACGAUUCAUGAAUCAUCCGAUUACCAAUUAUCGAAUCUUUUUUAGUUUCACUCAAUUCAUAUACUUCUAUUUCUCUCAAUCCAAAUCCAAAAAAUAUAAUUGGGUUUAUUUUUGAGAGUUCUUUUAUUAUUUCUUUUAUAAACAGAAUGCUUUUAAUGAUCCAUUUUUUUGUUUCUUUUGAGACAUUUAGAAACAAUUUUUUUUGUUCUUUUAAAAUUAUUAGAAUUAUAAAACAUUUAUUUUUCAAUUUUUUAAAUUUUUUUUUUAGUUCUUUAAAAAUGGGUUCAAAAAAUGAAAGUUUUUUUCUGGGAGAACCAAAGGGUAGUUCAGUUUCCAUUCCAAAAACUGUUAAAAUGUUAGAUUAAUCCGUAAGUCACAUUAUUUUGUUACAAUUAAAUUUAUUUUCUUUUUAAUGUGGCACACAUAGGAUUUGGUCUUGUAUAUAAAUUCUUGAAUGAUAACAGAUCAUGUGGAAUGUUGUGCAAUGUUCCUGUUCAAUGUUUUAGUUCUAGUAAGCGCAUUGAAGGUUAUCAUUUUUUGUUUUGGAGGUUUUAAAGUUUGCAUGACAACUUACAGGUGCUGCCUUGAAAAAAAUGGAGAAUGAAAAGGGAAUAAUCGCAUGAGGAUUAGUUGGCACCCAAUGCUCGAAUUGGAAAGCCACCAGGAUCACGAGGAUUAUUUGGAAGUUAACAGCUACAUCAUUUCGUUUGCAUAAUAGGUAGGAUAAAAGUGUACAACUCCAUACCAUUCACUUGAAGUUUAUGAUAUGCAGAAUGUGAUUUUUACUAGAAAGAUGGUUCUAUGAUAUAAUAUUAACAAUGUACUUCUAUGACGUAGUAUUAACAGUGUACUUUUUUUUUCUUUUCUUGUAGAGGUAUCUUGUUAUUACUAGUAUUCUUCCCUGCUGGGGCUGGCAAGACAAUGCUGAUCAGUGAUGCUGAGAAAGUUUAUGCAUUGGGAAAGGACUGAAGAUGGUUCUAUAACAUAGUAAUAACAAGAUAGUUCUAUGAGUUGAGGCCCAAAAAAGUCCUUGGUUAAGCCCAAAUAAGUUUUCGGUCCAAUAUGAUACUGUAUUAAGAAAAGUCACAUAUCGGAAUACACGAAGGCUCGUCAUAUACAAGUCAGAGUCCACAUGCCAUGCUAAAUAAAUAAUUUGUCAUGCCAAGGACUGAGAUAAUAUUAUAAAAUACAAGCUCAUGCUAAACUAAGCACCGUGUCCCUCUUUAUGGACGAUAAAAUUGAAGCACGCCAAGCGACACGCCACGCCAAGCAAGGAAUUAUUAUUCCGCACCCAAUCACGCCACAAGCUUAAGUGGGCCCCAAGCCACUCAAAUACCUAGGGCUUGCUUGAGUGAGUUGUGGUAUGGAUGGUAAUAAAUUGUCAUAAGGCCCGUUGAUAGGCCGAGAAAUGGAAGUCCCGGGUUGCUUGGGAGCCUCGGGACUCAAGCCCAUUUCAUAGGCCCAAACAUGUGGGUGAGCACAAGAGAGAAAAGAAUAGCCCAUCACUCCAAACAAAAAUAGCCCAAUCAAAAUAGCCUAUUGACUCAACCAAAAAGCCCAAAUGUUUGAUAAAGAAAUCCCACUUACUUAAUGAAUCACCUUUGCCCAUACAAUUACCAUAAUGAGCUAUAAAAGCCCCAACACUUGUCUGGAAAAACAAAAGCCACGAAGGGGAAGUCUGAAGGUCUAUUAUACAAAGUUGCUGGGAUGUUCCAGCAAAUGAGAAGGGAGCAAGUUUGAAGCAAAAGACACCCAAGGGACCAAACGAUAUUUGCGUGCAGAGGAGAACCGCUCUUUGAACCAGCAUAUAUGCCCAUUCUCUUUCCCUCAUCAGACCUAGCCAUAGAAAAAGGAAGGAAAAGGAAGGAAGAAGAUGGCUGGAAAUAGGAAUUCUCCACAAAGGCGGCUGCGGGAAGAGCAUUGAGCUCCCAAAAAUCCCGGAUUUUGUGAUAUUGGGUAGAUGGGAUUUUUGCUAGAUUAGGAUAAGUCAAAGAAAUGGAGGAGAAAUGAAGGAAAAAGCUUGGCCAAAUUGGAUGGAAACCAUUAGGGUUUCUUGGAAAAAGAUAGCUUCUAGCAGCUAUAAAAGGACGCCUCUUCUA
RNAcentral lists this long non-coding RNA (2553 nucleotides) under Prunus dulcis (almond). RNAcentral's name for it is "sRNA ncRNA". Lineage: Eukaryota; Viridiplantae; Streptophyta; Magnoliopsida; Rosales; Rosaceae. The record is from RNAcentral.